AAUCCUGUAACUCAAUGGCUAGAGUUCUCAACUUAUAAUUGAGAUGUUAAUGGUUCGAUUCCAUUCAGGAUUA
Molecule: transfer RNA, 73 nt
Filed under: Pediococcus acidilactici
Lineage: Bacteria; Bacillati; Bacillota; Bacilli; Lactobacillales; Lactobacillaceae
Description: tRNA-Ile
Rfam family: tRNA
About the family: Transfer RNA (tRNA) molecules are approximately 80 nucleotides in length. Their secondary structure includes four short double-helical elements and three loops (D, anti-codon, and T loops). Further hydrogen bonds mediate the characteristic L-shaped molecular structure. tRNAs have two regions of fundamental functional importance: the anti-codon, which is responsible for specific mRNA codon recognition, and the 3' end, to which the tRNAs corresponding amino acid is attached (by aminoacyl-tRNA synthetases). tRNAs cope with the degeneracy of the genetic code in two manners: having more than one tRNA (with a specific anti-codon) for a particular amino acid; and 'wobble' base-pairing, i.e. permitting non-standard base-pairing at the 3rd anti-codon position.
Source: RNAcentral